GACGAACGCUGGCGGCGUGCUUAACACAUGCAAGUCGAACGGUAAGGCCCUUCGGGUACGACGAGUGGCGAACGGGUGGAGUAACAACGUGGGUGAUCUGCCCUGCACUUCGGGAUAAGCCUGGGAAACUGGGUCUAAUACCGGAUAGGACCAUGGACUUCACGGUUUGUGGUGGAAAGCUUUUGCGGUGUGGGAUGGGCCCGCGGCCUAUCAGCUUGUUGGUGGGGUAAUGGCCUACCAAGGCGACGACGGGUAGCCGGCCUGAGAGGGUGUCCGGCCACACUGGGACUGAGAUACGGCCCAGACUCCUACGGGAGGCAGCAGUGGGGAAUAUUGCACAAUGGGCGCAAGCCUGAUGCAGCGACGCCGCGUGAGGGAUGACGGCCUCGGGUU
Molecule: ribosomal RNA, 393 nt
Filed under: uncultured bacterium
Lineage: Bacteria
Description: bacterial SSU rRNA
Rfam family: Bacterial small subunit ribosomal RNA
Source: RNAcentral